This 76-nucleotide transfer RNA is filed under the name Marinobacter sp. Its description in RNAcentral is "tRNA-Phe". It matches the Rfam family "tRNA". From Rfam's summary of the family: Transfer RNA (tRNA) molecules are approximately 80 nucleotides in length. Lineage: Bacteria; Pseudomonadati; Pseudomonadota; Gammaproteobacteria; Pseudomonadales; Marinobacteraceae. RNAcentral also lists the same sequence under 37 other names. The record is from RNAcentral.
GCCCGGAUAGCUCAGUUGGUAGAGCAGAGGAUUGAAAAUCCUCGUGUCGGUGGUUCGAUUCCGCCUCCGGGCACCA